RNAcentral lists this ribosomal RNA (674 nucleotides) under Salmonella enterica subsp. enterica serovar Corvallis. RNAcentral's name for it is "bacterial SSU rRNA". It matches the Rfam family "Bacterial small subunit ribosomal RNA", at positions 869 to 1533 of the family's 1533-position model. The record is from RNAcentral. Lineage: Bacteria; Pseudomonadati; Pseudomonadota; Gammaproteobacteria; Enterobacterales; Enterobacteriaceae.
CCGCCUGGGGAGUACGGCCGCAAGGUUAAAACUCAAAUGAAUUGACGGGGGCCCGCACAAGCGGUGGAGCAUGUGGUUUAAUUCGAUGCAACGCGAAGAACCUUACCUGGUCUUGACAUCCACAGAACUUUCCAGAGAUGGACUGGUGCCUUCGGGAACUGUGAGACAGGUGCUGCAUGGCUGUCGUCAGCUCGUGUUGUGAAAUGUUGGGUUAAGUCCCGCAACGAGCGCAACCCUUAUCCUUUGUUGCCAGCGGUCCGGCCGGGAACUCAAAGGAGACUGCCAGUGAUAAACUGGAGGAAGGUGGGGAUGACGUCAAGUCAUCAUGGCCCUUACGACCAGGGCUACACACGUGCUACAAUGGCGCAUACAAAGAGAAGCGACCUCGCGAGAGCAAGCGGACCUCAUAAAGUGCGUCGUAGUCCGGAUUGGAGUCUGCAACUCGACUCCAUGAAGUCGGAAUCGCUAGUAAUCGUGGAUCAGAAUGCCACGGUGAAUACGUUCCCGGGCCUUGUACACACCGCCCGUCACACCAUGGGAGUGGGUUGCAAAAGAAGUAGGUAGCUUAACCUUCGGGAGGGCGCUUACCACUUUGUGAUUCAUGACUGGGGUGAAGUCGUAACAAGGUAACCGUAGGGGAACCUGCGGUUGGAUCACCUCCUUACCUUAAAGAA